CCCUUCCCGGUACAGGACCCCCACCUUCGCUCCUGGGAGCCCCGCUGCACCCCAGGAGUUCCAUUCCAGCCUCCCCAGUGCGAGUGCGGCCGAGCGCUGACUUUUGGGGGCUCCCUCCCCCGUCUCACUGGGUCCCUCUGCGGCUCCCCCGCCCGCUGUCCCGGUUCAGACGUGGCUGCACCCCGGAGGGGGGCGCCGGCCGAGACCUGAGACGUGGCGCUCCCUCUCUGCCGGCCUCGGCUUCAGUGCUUGAAUUUCAGCCACAUCCCUAAGCUGCCAUCUCAGACCAGAGGAACAGGGAGGGGGGCUUUCUGGAAAGAACAUCACCUGGAAGAAAUCAGGACAUGACUGUGGGCCAUGAGUGACCUUCAAAGGAAAGCCGGGUAUCUGUGGUCUUUAAGAUGUGCAGGAGAAUGUGAUUCCUUACCAAUGGAGGGGAUUCAGUUCCUCCAGGUCUGGCAACCCUGCA
Molecule: long non-coding RNA, 469 nt
Filed under: Homo sapiens (human)
Lineage: Eukaryota; Metazoa; Chordata; Mammalia; Primates; Hominidae
Description: non-protein coding SNHG18:6
Source: RNAcentral